This 468-nucleotide ribosomal RNA is filed under the name uncultured bacterium. Its description in RNAcentral is "partial 16S ribosomal RNA". It matches the Rfam family "Bacterial small subunit ribosomal RNA", at positions 28 to 507 of the family's 1533-position model. The record is from RNAcentral.
GACGAACGCUGGCGGCGUGCUUAACACAUGCAAGUCGAACGGACAGGCCCUGCCUUUGUGCGGUGCUCGAGUGGCGAACGGGUGAGUAACCCGUGAGUAACCUGCCCUUGACUUUGGGAUAACUUCAUGCAACUGACGCUAAUACCGGAUAGGAGCCACUGCUGCAUGGUGGGCGCUGGACAGUUUCGGCGGUUGGGGAUGUACUCGCGGCUCAUCAGAUUGUUGGUGGGGUAGUGGCUUAGCAAGGCUUUGAGGGGUAGCCGGCCUGAGAGGAGAACCGGCCAAGUUGGAAUGGAGAUACGACACAGACUACUACGGGACGCAACGGUGGGGAGGGGUGCAUAGUGGGCGGAAGGCAGAUGUGGCCACGCCGCGUGCGGGAAGACGGGAAUGGGGUUGUGAUCCGAUUUCGCCUGGGACGAAGCGUGAGUGACGGUAAUGGAUAAAGAAGCACCGGCUAACUACGUG